CACCCAAAAACUGAGAGUGGAGAUGUGGCUCAAGUGGUAGAGUACUAGCCUUGAGUGAAAAAGCUAAGGGACCCAACCCCUGAGCUCAAGCCCCAGAACUGGCACACACACAAAAGUCCAUAUUCUCAAGCAUUAACUGG
Perognathus longimembris pacificus (Pacific pocket mouse) is the source of this 140-nucleotide long non-coding RNA. RefSeq lists it as uncharacterized. NCBI's taxonomy places the organism in Eukaryota, Metazoa, Chordata, Mammalia, Rodentia, Heteromyidae. The transcript has 3 exons. The record is from RefSeq and is a predicted model, not a curated record.